Non-coding RNA from Phrynosoma platyrhinos (Desert horned lizard), 72 nucleotides. Lineage: Eukaryota; Metazoa; Chordata; Lepidosauria; Squamata; Phrynosomatidae. The record is from the annotation of a GenBank genome assembly.
GCCAGCAUGGCAUAGUGGUUUGAGUGUUGGACUAUGAAUCUGGAGAUCAAGGUUCAAUUUCUAGCUCGGCCA